GACGAACGCUGGCGGCGUGCCUAAUACAUGCAAGUAGAACGCUGAAGGAGGAGCUUGCUUCUCUGGAUGAGUUGCGAACGGGUGAGUAACGCGUAGGUAACCUGCCUGGUAGCGGGGGAUAACUAUUGGAAACGAUAGCUAAUACCGCAUAAUAGUAGAUGUUGCAUGACAUUUGCUUAAAAGGUGCAAUUGCAUCACUACCAGAUGGACCUGCGUUGUAUUAGCUAGGUGGUGGGGUAACGGCUCACCAAGGCGACGAUGCAUAGCCGACCGGAGAGGGGGGGCAGCCAGCCUGGGACUGUGACCCGGCCCAGACUCCCUCGGGAGGCAGCAGUAGGGAAACUUGGGGAAUGGGCGGAAGUCUGAGCGAGCAACGCCGCGGGAGGGAAGAAGGGUGUCGGAUCGGAAAGCUCUGUUGUAAGGGAAGAACGAGUGUGAGAGUGGAAAGUUCACACUGUGACGGUAUCUUACCAGAAAGGGACGGCUAACUACGUG
Molecule: ribosomal RNA, 495 nt
Filed under: uncultured bacterium
Lineage: Bacteria
Description: partial 16S ribosomal RNA
Rfam family: Bacterial small subunit ribosomal RNA
Source: RNAcentral